CAGCUGUUGUAAUGGAGACAUUGACUCGAGUAUUCUUCAAUAGAGGAUAUUUCUUCUCUGUGUGCCUGGUGCUUCAAUGUUUAACGUCUUGGUGUGUUUCACGAGCCGGACGUUGUUGCCAUCUUCGAUUGUCCUCCAAUAGACCGUUUUCACAGCUUUGCGACUGGCAAUAAACCGAGUUACUGUAGCAAAUAUCAUUUUUAAUAAACUUUUUGAUAUAUCUCUUUAAACAGAACGUCUGAACUAAUUGAACUUCGGGAGCGUUUUGAGUGAGCUCCGUUCAGCACAAUGUGCUUUAUACGAUUCACACUCAGCCCGAAAACCGCUAAUUUUCGGAUUUUUUUGUUAUUGUUUUUGGAGGCAUUUUUUUUAUCAUCACUCAUAAUUUUUCGUAUGCUUAAAAAUAUAAAAAAGUUUUCCAUUUGAAUUAUUCCAUGACGUCGGUCGGUUUGUAAUGAAUGAGUAUAAAAUCAAAAAAAUUUGUAUGGGAUAGGUAAUGGUUAAUCAGAACACCAGUCACCAUGUGAGCGGCUGAUUUCUUCGUGACAUUUUUCAUGAAAAUCAUUGUCUUAUCAGGCAGACCUAUUUGUUUACCAGUGUUGUUCUGUUCAAGUUUUAUAACACCAGAGCACAAUGUCUAUAAAGUUAAUUCACAUCUGUUUUUUGUUUUUGUUGUCAUAAGAAGUAUAUUUUUAAUCGUUCAUUCAAAUGCGGGUCUAAAUAUAUAAAAAAAAAUAAUAAAUUGGAACCAGACAAUGCAGUGAUAAUAAUAUACUGAUAGUGUAAUGAUUUUGUAACUACGUUUAAUCUAACACUUGACGAAUGUCUAUCUCGUCCCGAAUUUGCAAAAACAGAUUUUUCUUGAACCUCAAAGAGCAUUUAAAGUCGAGUGG
Bradysia coprophila is the source of this 893-nucleotide long non-coding RNA. NCBI's taxonomy places the organism in Eukaryota, Metazoa, Arthropoda, Insecta, Diptera, Sciaridae. The record is from RefSeq and is a predicted model, not a curated record.